Molecule: long non-coding RNA, 214 nt
Filed under: Capsella rubella
Lineage: Eukaryota; Viridiplantae; Streptophyta; Magnoliopsida; Brassicales; Brassicaceae
Description: long non-coding RNA (CRUB_LNC000532)
Source: RNAcentral
UUACGAGAUAUAAAUUACGACAAAUCCAAAAAAGAAAAACAUAAAAAAAAAAUUUAUGACAAUAUAUAAAAAGAUAAUGUAAACAAUAAAAAAUACAACAAUCCGCCCAAAACUCACAAAUCAUUUUCAAAUUUCAGGCCAACAUAUUAAAAGAGCCCACAAUAUUAACAUCUAGAUCUAUAUUUGGUAAAAACCCUAAUAGCACACGUUUUUC